CCCUUAGAUGUUCUGGGCUGCACACGUGCUACACUGAAGCUAUCAACACGUUUUCCCUCCCUGAGAAGGGCGGGUAACCUUUUGAAUCAGCUUCGUGGUAGGGAUCGGGGCUUGCAAUUGUUCCCCGUGAACCAGGAAUUCCUAGUAGACGCGAGUCAUAAGCUCGCAUCGAUUAAGUCCCUGCCCUUUGUACACACCGCCCGUCGCUACUACCGAUUGAACGUUUUAGUGAGGCAUUUGGACCGACGCAUCUCAGUUUAACCGCUGGUUUGUGUUGGAAAGACUUCCAAACUUGAGCGUUUAGAGGAAGUAAAAGUCGUAACA
Molecule: ribosomal RNA, 324 nt
Filed under: uncultured eukaryote
Lineage: Eukaryota
Description: partial 18S ribosomal RNA
Rfam family: Eukaryotic small subunit ribosomal RNA
Source: RNAcentral